RNAcentral lists this ribosomal RNA (429 nucleotides) under uncultured bacterium. RNAcentral describes it as "bacterial SSU rRNA". It matches the Rfam family "Bacterial small subunit ribosomal RNA", at positions 28 to 446 of the family's 1533-position model. The record is from RNAcentral.
GACGAACGCUGGCGGCGUGCUUAACACAUGCAAGUCAAGGGGAACCUUCUGCUUCGGCGGGAAUAGUACACUGGCGGACGGGUGAGUAACGCGUAGGCAACCUACCUUUGUGCUUGGGAUAAUUCACCGAAAGGUGGGCUAAUACCGAAUACUGUCUGUUGGUCACAUGAUUGACAGAUUAAAGAUGCUGCAAAGUAUCACACAAGGAUGGGCCUGCGUUCCAUUAGCUGGAUGGUGAGGUAACGGCUUACCAUGGCGACGAUGGAUAGCUGAUCUGAGAGGGUGAUCAGCCACACUGGGACUGAGAUACGGCCCAGACUCCUACGGGAGGCAGCAGUGAGGAAUAUUGCGCAAUGGACGAAAGUCUGACGCAGCAACGCCGCGUGGGGGAUGAAGCACUAUGGUGUGUAAACCCCUGUAGUUAGGGAA